AUGAUGGACUAUAGGACAGGACUGCUGCUUCUAACUAUCUGCUGGACAGGUGUUGAUGGUCAUACUCUGACACAAUCUGAACCAGUGGUUAAAAAGCCUGGAGAAGCUCACAGAUUGACCUGUACAGCCUCUAGACUUGACUUUGAUAACUAUUGGAUGCACUGGAUCAGACAGGCUCCUGGAAAAGGACUGGAGUGGAUUGCUCAUAUCUACAGUGACAGUAGUGGCAAAUUCUACUCUCAGUCAGUUCAAGGCCGGUUCACCAUCUCCAGAGACAACAGCAGACAGCAGCUGUAUCUGCAGAUGAACAGUCUGAAGACUGAAGAUUCUGCUGUUUAUUAUUGUGUCCAAAGAGAGGACUAA
Scomber japonicus (chub mackerel) is the source of this 363-nucleotide non-coding RNA. The record is from the annotation of a RefSeq genome assembly. NCBI's taxonomy places the organism in Eukaryota, Metazoa, Chordata, Actinopteri, Scombriformes, Scombridae.